GGGGGAUUAGCUCAGCUGGGAGAGCGCAACGCUGGCAGCGUUAAGGUCACCGGUUCGAUCCCGGUAUCCUCCA
RNAcentral lists this transfer RNA (73 nucleotides) under Candidatus Auribacterota bacterium. RNAcentral describes it as "tRNA-Ala". It matches the Rfam family "tRNA". Rfam says of the family: Transfer RNA (tRNA) molecules are approximately 80 nucleotides in length. The record is from RNAcentral. Lineage: Bacteria; Pseudomonadati; Candidatus Auribacterota.